This 460-nucleotide ribosomal RNA is filed under the name uncultured bacterium. Its description in RNAcentral is "partial 16S ribosomal RNA". It matches the Rfam family "Bacterial small subunit ribosomal RNA", at positions 338 to 795 of the family's 1533-position model. The record is from RNAcentral.
CCUACGGGAGGCAGCAGUGAGGAAUAUUGGUCAAUGGCCGUAAGGCUGAACCAGCCAAGUCGCGUGAAGGAAGAAGGAUCUAUGGUUUGUAAACUUCUUUUAUAGGGGAAUAAAGGUAUCCACGUGUGGAUAUUUGCAUGUACCCUAUGAAUAAGCAUCGGCUAACUCCGUGCCAGCAGCCGCGGUAAUACGGAGGAUGCGAGCGUUAUCCGGAUUUAUUGGGUUUAAAGGGUGCGUAGGUUGGUUUUUAAGUCAGCGGUGAAAGUUUGUGGCUCAACCAUAAAAUUGCCGUUGAAACUGGAAGACGUGAGUGUGUUUGAGGUAGGCGGAAUGCGUGGUGUAGCGGUGAAAUGCAUAGAUAUCACGCAGAACUCCGAUUGCGAAGGCAGCUUACUAAGCCAUAACUGACACUGAAGCACGAAAGCGUGGGGAUCAAACAGGAUUAGAUACCCCAGUAGUC